UGGGGAAUAUUGGACAAUGGGCGGAAGCCUGAUCCAGCAACGCCGCGUGAGGGAUGACGGCCUUCGGGUUGUAAACCUCUUUCAGUACCGACGAAGCGAAAGUGACGGUAGGUACAGAAGAAGGACCGGCCAACUACGUGCCAGCAGCCGCGGUAAUACGUAGGGUCCGAGCGUUGUCCGGAAUUAUUGGGCGUAAAGGGCUCGUAGGCGGUUUGUCGCGUCGGGAGUGAAAACAGCGGGCUUAACUCGUUGCUUGCUUUCGAUACGGGCAGACUAGAGGUAUGCAGGGGAGAAUGGAAUUCCUGGUGUAGCGGUGAAAUGCGCAGAUAUCAGGAGGAACACCGGUGGCGAAGGCGGUUCUCUGGGCAUUACCUGACGCUGAGGAGCGAAAGUGUGGGGAGCGAACAGGAUUAGAUACCCCUGGUAGUCCACACCGUAAACGUUGGGCG
Molecule: ribosomal RNA, 449 nt
Filed under: uncultured bacterium
Lineage: Bacteria
Description: partial 16S ribosomal RNA
Rfam family: Bacterial small subunit ribosomal RNA
Source: RNAcentral